RNAcentral lists this ribosomal RNA (253 nucleotides) under uncultured bacterium. RNAcentral describes it as "partial 16S ribosomal RNA". It matches the Rfam family "Bacterial small subunit ribosomal RNA", at positions 524 to 776 of the family's 1533-position model. The record is from RNAcentral.
UACGUAGGGGGCAAGCGUUGUCCGGAAUCAUUGGGCGUAAAGCGCGUGUAGGCGGCCCGAUAAGUCCGCUGUGAAAGUCCAGGGCUCAACCCUGGAAUGCCGGUGGAUACUGUCGGGCUCGAGUCCGGAAGAGGCGAGUGGAAUUCCUGGUGUAGCGGUGAAAUGCGCAGAUAUCAGGAGGAACACCAAUGGCGAAGGCAGCUCGCUGGGACGGUACUGACGCUGAGGAGCGAAAGCGUGGGGAGCGAACAGG